RNAcentral lists this small nucleolar RNA (149 nucleotides) under Oryza sativa (Asian cultivated rice). RNAcentral describes it as "Z205a small nucleolar RNA". Lineage: Eukaryota; Viridiplantae; Streptophyta; Magnoliopsida; Poales; Poaceae. The record is from RNAcentral.
CGCCGUCUCUGAUGAACAUGAACGGGCAGUACCAAUUGCCGACGACGGCGGCCGGCGAGCCUCCCGCGCCGAUGGCGAAGCCGUCGAGGUCAGGCAUCCGGCGACGGAGCGGCCAGUCUAUCCCGUGCGCGUCGUCACUGAGGCCGUCG